RNAcentral lists this ribosomal RNA (230 nucleotides) under uncultured soil bacterium. RNAcentral describes it as "partial 16S ribosomal RNA". It matches the Rfam family "Bacterial small subunit ribosomal RNA", at positions 284 to 526 of the family's 1533-position model. The record is from RNAcentral.
GCCCGCCGCGCGCGGCGGGCGGGGCGGGGGCACGGGGGGCCUACGGGAGGCAGCAGUGAGGAAUAUUGGACAAUGGCCGGAAGGCUGAUCCAGCCAUGCCGCGUGAAGGAUAAGGUCCUAUGGAUUGUAAACUUCUUUUGAGUGGGAGCAAUAAGGAUGUCGUGACAUCCGAUGAGAGUACCAUUCGAAUAAGCAUCGGCUAACUCCGUGCCAGCAGCCGCGGUAAUAAU